UCCCAGACUCCUACGGGAGGCAGCAGUGGGGGAUAUUGCACAAUGGGGGAAACCCUGAUGCAGCGACGCCGCGUGAGUGAAGAAGUAUUUCGGUACGUAAAGCUCUAUCAGCAGGGAAGAAAAACCGGCCUUAGGGCCGCCAGACGGUACCUGACUAAGAAGCCCCGGCUAACUACGUGCCAGCAGCCGCGGUAAUACGUAGGGGGCAAGCGUUAUCCGGAUUUACUGGGUGUAAAGGGAGCGUAGACGGCGAUGCAAGUCUGAAGUGAAAGGCGGGGGCCCAACCCCCGGACUGCUUUGGAAACUGUAUAGCUGGAGUGCAGGAGAGGUAAGUGGAAUUCCUAGUGUAGCGGUGAAAUGCGUAGAUAUUAGGAGGAACACCAGUGGCGAAGGCGGCUUACUGGACUGUAACUGACGUUGAGGCUCGAAAGCGUGGGGAGCAAACAGGAUUAGAUACCCGAGUAA
Molecule: ribosomal RNA, 465 nt
Filed under: uncultured bacterium
Lineage: Bacteria
Description: bacterial SSU rRNA
Rfam family: Bacterial small subunit ribosomal RNA
Source: RNAcentral